GAUGAACGCUGGCGGCGUGCUUAACACAUGCAAGUCGAACGAUGAAGCCCAGCUUGCUGGGUGGAUUAGUGGCGAACGGGUGAGUAACACGUGAGUAACCUGCCCUUAACUCUGGGAUAAGCCUGGGAAACUGGGUCUAAUACCGGAUAGGAGCGUCCACCGCAUGGUGGGUGUUGGAAAGAUUUAGCGGUUUUGGAUGGACUCGCGGCCUAUCAGCUUGUUGGUGAGGUAAUGGCUCACCAAGGCGACGACGGGUAGCCGGCCUGAGAGGGUGACCGGCCACACUGGGACUGAGAGACGGCCCAGACUCCUACGGGCGGCAGCAGUGGGGAAUAUUGCACAAUGGGCGCAAGCCUGAUGCAGAGACGCCGCGUGAGGGAUGACGGCCUUCGGGUUGUAAACCUCUUUCAGUAGGGAAGAAGCGAAAGUGACGGUACCUGAAGAUGAAGCACCGGCUAACUACGUG
RNAcentral lists this ribosomal RNA (466 nucleotides) under uncultured bacterium. Its description in RNAcentral is "partial 16S ribosomal RNA". It matches the Rfam family "Bacterial small subunit ribosomal RNA", at positions 28 to 507 of the family's 1533-position model. The record is from RNAcentral.